Molecule: non-coding RNA, 31 nt
Filed under: Homo sapiens (human)
Lineage: Eukaryota; Metazoa; Chordata; Mammalia; Primates; Hominidae
Source: RNAcentral
GUCCCAGGCUGGGAUGUGUCUGCACAUUGGU